CAAUAUAUGAGACCGGCGCACGGGUGCGUAACGCGUAUGCAACCUACCUUUUACAGGGGGAUAGCCCAGAGAAAUUUGGAUUAAUACCCCAUGGUAUAUUUUAGUGGCAUCACUAGAUUAUUAAAGUUCCAACGGUAAAAGAUGGGCAUGCGUCCUAUUAGCUAGAUGGUAAGGUAACGGCUUACCAUGGCUACGAUAGGUAGGGGUCCUGAGAGGGAGAUCCCCCACACUGGUACUGAGACACGGACCAGACUCCUACGGGAGGCAGCAGUGAGGAAUAUUGGACAAUGGGCGCAAGCCUGAUCCAGCCAUGCCGCGUGCAGGAAGAAGCAUCUAUGGUGUGUAAACUGCUUUUGUACAGGAAGAAACACUCCCUCGUGAGGGAGCUUGACGGUACUGUAAGAAUAAGGAUCGGCUAACUCCGUGCCAGCAGCCGCGGUAAUACGGAGGAUCCAAGCGUUAUCCGGAAUCAUUGGGUUUAAAGGGUCCGUAGGCGGUUUGGUAAGUCAGUGGUGAAAGCCCAUCGCUCAACGGUGGAACGGCCAUUGAUACUGCCAGACUUGAAUUACCGGGAAGUAACUAGAAUAUGUAGUGUAGCGGUGAAAUGCUUAGAGAUUACAUGGAAUACCAAUUGCGAAGGCAGGUUACUACCAGUGGAUUGACGCUGAUGGA
This 672-nucleotide ribosomal RNA is filed under the name uncultured Bacteroidota bacterium. RNAcentral's name for it is "bacterial SSU rRNA". It matches the Rfam family "Bacterial small subunit ribosomal RNA", at positions 83 to 753 of the family's 1533-position model. Lineage: Bacteria; Pseudomonadati; Bacteroidota. The record is from RNAcentral.